CCUACGGGGGGUAGCAGUGAGGAAUAUUGGUCAAUGGUCGGGAGACUGAACCAGCCAAGCCGCGUGAGGGAGGAAGGUACAGAGUAUCGUAAACCUCUUUUGUCAGGGAACAAAGGCGGGGACGUGUCCCCGGCUGAGUGUACCUGAAGAAAAAGCAUCGGCUAACUCCGUGCCAGCAGCCGCGGUAAUACGGAGGAUGCGAGCGUUAUCCGGAUUUAUUGGGUUUAAGGGGUGCGCAGGGGGGCUGUUAAGUCAGCGGUCAAAGCCCGGGGCUCAACCCCGGCCCGCCGUUGAAACUGGCAGUCUCGAGUGGGAGAGAAGUAUGCGGAAUGCGCGGUGUAGCGGUGAAAUGCAUAGAUAUCGCGCAGAACUCCGAUUGCGAAGGCAGCAUGCCGGCUCCACACUGACGCUGAGGCACGAAAGCGUGGGUAUCGAACAGGAUUAGAUACCCGGGUAGUC
Molecule: ribosomal RNA, 459 nt
Filed under: uncultured bacterium
Lineage: Bacteria
Description: partial 16S ribosomal RNA
Rfam family: Bacterial small subunit ribosomal RNA
Source: RNAcentral